RNAcentral lists this long non-coding RNA (206 nucleotides) under Mus spicilegus (steppe mouse). RNAcentral's name for it is "lncRNA (ENSMSIG00000025462.1)". Lineage: Eukaryota; Metazoa; Chordata; Mammalia; Rodentia; Muridae. The record is from RNAcentral.
GUCUCAAUUAAAACCAGAGUGGCUUCCUUUCUCAGUGAUUACUAUGGUGGGAAAACACGAUGAUCCUAAGCUUUGUGGUUUUCAAAGAAGUACAUCAGUGGGGGGAGGAGAAAAUGGAGCAGAAGAGAAAUGUUGGCCAGACUUUCCCAGGAUUCCCAGGUUCCUGGAGGGAGAAGAGACUAAGUGCUCCUAUUCCUAACAUCAGG